UGAGGAAUAUUGGGUCAAUGGGCGAAAGCCUGAACCAGCCAAGUAGCGUGCAGGAUGACGGCCCUACGGGUUGUAAACUGCUUUUAGGCGGGGGUAAAGUGCCGGACGUGUUCCGGUAUUGCAAGUACCGCCAGAAAAAGGACCGGCUAAUUCCGUGCCAGCAGCCGCGGUAAUACGGAAGGUCCGGGCGUUAUCCGGAUUUAUUGGGUUUAAAGGGAGCGUAGGCGGGCUAUUAAGUCAGCUGUGAAAUCCGGCGGCUCAACCGUCGGCCUGCAGUUGAUACUGGUGGCCUUGAGUGCGCACAGGGGUGUUGGAAU
RNAcentral lists this ribosomal RNA (317 nucleotides) under uncultured Prevotellaceae bacterium. RNAcentral's name for it is "bacterial SSU rRNA". It matches the Rfam family "Bacterial small subunit ribosomal RNA", at positions 355 to 667 of the family's 1533-position model. Lineage: Bacteria; Pseudomonadati; Bacteroidota; Bacteroidia; Bacteroidales; Prevotellaceae. The record is from RNAcentral.